This 253-nucleotide unclassified non-coding RNA is filed under the name uncultured Halomonadaceae bacterium. RNAcentral's name for it is "contains 16S-23S intergenic spacer region". It matches the Rfam family "Bacterial small subunit ribosomal RNA", at positions 524 to 776 of the family's 1533-position model. The record is from RNAcentral. Lineage: Bacteria; Pseudomonadati; Pseudomonadota; Gammaproteobacteria; Oceanospirillales; Halomonadaceae.
UACGGAGGGUGCAAGCGUUAAUCGGAAUUACUGGGCGUAAGGCGCGCGUAGGCGGCCAAAUCAGCCGGUUGUGAAAGCCCCGGGCUCAACCUGGGAACGGCAUCCGGAACUGUUUGGCUAGAGUGCAGGAGAGGAAGGUAGAAUUCCCGGUGUAGCGGUGAAAUGCGUAGAGAUCGGGAGGAAUACCAGUGGCGAAGGCGGCCUUCUGGACUGACACUGACGCUGAGGGACGAAAGCGUGGGUAGCGAAUGGG